RNAcentral lists this ribosomal RNA (512 nucleotides) under uncultured Actinomycetes bacterium. RNAcentral's name for it is "bacterial SSU rRNA". It matches the Rfam family "Bacterial small subunit ribosomal RNA", at positions 355 to 867 of the family's 1533-position model. Lineage: Bacteria; Bacillati; Actinomycetota; Actinomycetes. The record is from RNAcentral.
UGGGGAAUAUUGGACAAUGGGCGGAAGCCUGAUCCAGCAACGCCGCGUGAGGGAUGACGGCCUUCGGGUUGUAAACCUCUUUCAGCGGGGACGAAGCGCCGAUGAUGGUGGUGACGGUACCCGCAGAAGAAGCACCGGCCAACUACGUGCCAGCAGCCGCGGUAAUACGUAGGGUGCGAGCGUUGUCCGGAAUUAUUGGGCGUAAAGGGCUCGUAGGCGGUUUGUCGCGUCGGGAGUGAAAACACCGGGCUUAACUCGGUGCUUGCUUUCGAUACGGGCAGACUAGAGGUAUGCAGGGGAGAACGGAAUUCCUGGUGUAGCGGUGAAAUGCGCAGAUAUCAGGAGGAACACCGGUGGCGAAGGCGGUUCUCUGGGCAUUACCUGACGCUGAGGAGCGAAAGUGUGGGGAGCGAACAGGAUUAGAUACCCUGGUAGUCCACACCGUAAACGUUGGGACGCUAGGUGUGGGGCCUAUUCCAUGGGUUCCGUGCCGCAGCUAACGCAUUAAGCCG